Molecule: ribosomal RNA, 200 nt
Filed under: uncultured bacterium
Lineage: Bacteria
Description: partial 16S ribosomal RNA
Rfam family: Bacterial small subunit ribosomal RNA
Source: RNAcentral
AGAGUUUGAUCCUGGCUCAGGAUGAACGCUAGCGGGAGGCUUAACACAUGCAAGUCGAGCGGGAUUGGUAGCAAUACCAUGAGAGCGGCGCACGGGUGCGUAACGCGUAUGCAACCUGCCUUAUACAGGGGGAUAGCCCAUGGAAACGUGGAUUAAUAUCCCAUAGGAUUAUGGUUUCGCAUGAAACUAUGAUUAAAACU